RNAcentral lists this ribosomal RNA (498 nucleotides) under uncultured bacterium. RNAcentral describes it as "partial 16S ribosomal RNA". It matches the Rfam family "Bacterial small subunit ribosomal RNA", at positions 28 to 507 of the family's 1533-position model. The record is from RNAcentral.
GACGAACGCUGGCGGCGUGCCUAAUACAUGCAAGUCGAGCGGACGAAUCGAAAGCUUGCUUUUGAUUCGUUAGCGGCGGACGGGUGAGUAACACGUGGGCAACCUGCCCUGUAGACGGGGAUAACACCGAGAAAUCGGUGCUAAUACCGGAUAACACGAAAUGUCGCAUGACGUUUCGUUGAAAGACGGCGCACGCUGCCGCUACAGGAUGGGCCCGCGGCGCAUUAGCUAGUUGGUGAGGUAACGGCUCACCAAGGCGACGAUACGUAGCCGACCUGAGAGGGUGAUCGGCCACACUGGGACUGAGACACGGCCCAGACUCCUACGGGAGGCAGCAGUAGGGAAUCUUCCGCAAAGGACGAAAGUCUGACGGAGCAACGCCGCGUGAGCGAAGAAGGCCUUCGGGUCGUAAAGCUCUGUUGUUAGGGAAGAACAAGUAACGCAGUAACUGGCGUUACCGUGACGGUACCUAACGAGAAAGCCACGGCUAACUACGUG